CAGCCGUAAACUAUGCGCGUUAGGUGUACUGGUGACCACGAGUCACCGAGGUGCCGAAGGGAAACCGUGAAACGUGCCGCCUGGGAAGUACGGUCGCAAGGCUGAAACCUAAAGGAAUUGGCGGGGGAGCACCACAACAGGUGGAGCCUGCGGUUUAAUUGGACUCAACGCCGGGAAGCUCACCGGAUAGGACAGCAGAAUGAUUGCCGGGCUGAAGACCCUGCAUGACUAGCUGAGAGGAGGUGCAUGGCGUCAGU
This 257-nucleotide ribosomal RNA is filed under the name uncultured archaeon. Its description in RNAcentral is "partial 16S ribosomal RNA". It matches the Rfam family "Archaeal small subunit ribosomal RNA", at positions 748 to 1004 of the family's 1478-position model. The record is from RNAcentral.